CCGACUCCUAACCGAAAUAAGCUGAAAAGUCUAGGCAUGCAGGCCCGACCAACUAACGAACUAAUAUGGGCACGUAGACCCGACCAGCUAAAAGAUAAAACGGGCGUGCAAGCCCUACCAAUUACGAAAUGAAAAUAAAUGGGGCAUAAAAACAUGUAAGACCCUGGUACAUUGGAUGUAUGGCAUUGACCAUCUAGACAAUGACAUUGAUCGUCCCCGCCAUUGGUCCAUUGUUGUCCCCAGUCCCUGAGGUAUUUGGCUAGUUAUGAUCAUUCCUCGAACGCUUAUCUUGACUGACAUAUGCCCCUAGUAAUCCUCUCUUGAUCAAAGACUCGAUCUUGCGCUGUAAGGCUUUGCAUGUCUCUGUGGUAUGUCCAUGGUCUUGAUGAAACUUACAAUAUUUGUUAAUGUUUUGGGGCUUAGAAGAGGACUUCAUCCUUGACGGCCAUUUGAGCUCCUUCAUAUCCUUGAUCUCCAUCAAAAUGUUAGAUCUUAUGGUAUUUAGGCGAGUAACGGCUACUGAAGGGUUAUCAUGCCUUGUCUUACCCUGAGGCUGAUCUUAAUGCAGAUUAAGCUCAUGCUGCCUUUUAAGCUCAGGCUUAGCUGAUGGUUGGGCAUCUCUCUUUGGAAACAUAGUCUCUUCCAUUUUGAUGUACUUCUCGGCUCGAGUAAGUAGGUCGGUUACUGACGUAGGAGGGGUCUUUGAUAGAGACAUCUUGAAUGCUUCACACCUUAUGGCAUGUGUUAAGGCCAAGACUGUAGCUAUGAUAUGGGGGUCCGGAAUCUGGAGUCUUUCCUUGUUGAAUCUGGUCAUGAAGUUGCGAAGGGAUUCAUUCUGCCCUUGUCGAAGUUGCAUGAGGGAAGCUGCUGUUUUCGUGCUGCGCUUGCUGCUGGCGAAGAAGGUGGAGAACUUGUCGGCUAGAUCUGAGAAAGAGGCUAUGGAGUUUGGCUCCAAAGUUGAAAACCAGU
This 969-nucleotide long non-coding RNA is filed under the name Olea europaea subsp. europaea. Lineage: Eukaryota; Viridiplantae; Streptophyta; Magnoliopsida; Lamiales; Oleaceae. The record is from RNAcentral.